Molecule: ribosomal RNA, 424 nt
Filed under: uncultured prokaryote
Description: bacterial SSU rRNA
Rfam family: Bacterial small subunit ribosomal RNA
Source: RNAcentral
UGGGGAAUCUUGGACAAUGGGGGCAACCCUGAUCCAGCCAUGCCGCGUGAGCGAUGAAGGCCUUAGGGUUGUAAAGCUCUUUCAGCGGGGAAGAUAAUGACGGUACCCGCAGAAGAAGCCCCGGCUAACUCCGUGCCAGCAGCCGCGGUAAUACGGAGGGGGCUAGCGUUGUUCGGAAUUACUGGGCGUAAAGCGCACGUAGGCGGAUCGUUUAGUCGGGGGUGAAAUCCCGGGGCUCAACCCCGGAACGGCCUUCGAUACUGGCGGUCUGGAGUCCGAGAGAGGUGAGUGGAACUCCGAGUGUAGAGGUGAAAUUCGUAGAUAUUCGGAAGAACACCAGUGGCGAAGGCGGCUCACUGGCUCGGUACUGACGCUGAGGUGCGAAAGCGUGGGGAGCAAACAGGAUUAGAUACCCCCGUAGUCC